GAUGAACGCUAGCGGCAGGCUUAAUACAUGCAAGUCGAGGGGCAGCACGGUUAGCAAUAACUGGUGGCGACCGGCGCACGGGUGCGUAACACGUAUACAAUCUACCUUAAACAGGGGGAUAGCCUUUCGAAAGAGAGAUUAAUACCCCGUAAUAAAUUGAACGGCAUCGUUUGAUUUUUGAAAGCUCCGGCGGUUUGAGAUGAGUAUGCGUCUGAUUAGCUAGUUGGUGAGGUAACGGCUCACCAAGGCGACGAUCAGUAGGGGAUCUGAGAGGACUAACCCCCACACUGGUACUGAGACACGGACCAGACUCCUACGGGAGGCAGCAGUAAGGAAUAUUGGUCAAUGGAGGCAACUCUGAACCAGCCAUGCCGCGUGCAGGACGACGGCCCUACUGGGUUGUAAACUGCUUUAUACAAGAGAAAACCCUGGUACGUGUACCAGGUUGAUAGUAUUGUAAGAAUAAGCAUCGGCUAACUUCGUGCCAGCAGCCGCGGU
Molecule: ribosomal RNA, 498 nt
Filed under: uncultured bacterium
Lineage: Bacteria
Description: bacterial SSU rRNA
Rfam family: Bacterial small subunit ribosomal RNA
Source: RNAcentral